Molecule: ribosomal RNA, 1415 nt
Filed under: Pasteurella multocida
Lineage: Bacteria; Pseudomonadati; Pseudomonadota; Gammaproteobacteria; Pasteurellales; Pasteurellaceae
Description: partial 23S ribosomal RNA
Rfam family: Bacterial large subunit ribosomal RNA
Source: RNAcentral
GUUGUAUGGUUAAGUGACUAAGCGUACAGGGCGGAUGCCUUGGCAAUCAGAGGCGAUGAAGGACGUGCUAAUCUGCGAAAAGCUUGGAUGAGUCGAUAAGAGGCGUUUAAUCCAAGAUAUCCGAAUGGGGAAACCCAGUAGAUGAAGAAUCUACUAUCAAUAAAUGAAUACAUAGUUUAUUGAGGCGAACCGGGAGAACUGAAACAUCUAAGUACCCCGAGGAAAAGAAAUCAACCGAGAUUCUGUGAGUAGCGGCGAGCGAAAGCGGAAGAGCCAGUAAGUUUUAGCUAGCGUAUUAGAGGAAUUGGCUGGGAAGCCAAAUCAAAGAGGGUGAUAAUCCCGUACUCGAAAGUAUGGUAGUGGAACUAAGCUUACGAUAAGUAAGGCGGGACACGAGAAAUCCUGUUUGAAGAUGGGGGGACCAUCCUCCAAGGCUAAAUACUCCUGAUUGACCGAUAGUGAACCAGUACUGUGAAGGAAAGGCGAAAAGAACCCCGGUGAGGGGAGUGAAAUAGAACCUGAAACCCUGUACGUACAAGCAGUAGGAGCGAGGGCAACCUUGUGACUGCGUACCUUUUGUAUAAUGGGUCAGCGACUUAUAUUUUGUAGCGAGGUUAACUGAAUAAGGGAGCCGAAGGGAAACCGAGUCUUAACUGGGCGUUGAGUUGCAAGGUAUAGACCCGAAACCCGGUGAUCUAGCCAUGGGCAGGUUGAAGGUUGGGUAACACUAACUGGAGGACCGAACCGACUAAUGUUGAAAAAUUAGCGGAUGACUUGUGGCUGGGGGUGAAAGGCCAAUCAAACCGGGAGAUAGCUGGUUCUCCCCGAAAUCUAUUUAGGUAGAGCCUUGAGCGGACACCUUCGGGGGUAGAGCACUGUUUCGGCUAGGGGUCCAUCCCGGAUUACCAACCCGAUGCAAACUGCGAAUACCGAAGAGUGAUACUCAGGAGACACACGGCGGGUGCUAACGUUCGUCGUGGAGAGGGAAACAACCCAGACCGCCAGCUAAGGUCCCGAAGUCUAUAUUAAGUGGGAAACGAAGUGGGAAGGCUUAGACAGCUAGGAUGUUGGCUUAGAAGCAGCCAUCAUUUAAAGAAAGCGUAAUAGCUCACUAGUCGAGUCGGCCUGCGCGGAAGAUGUAACGGGGCUCAAAUAUAGCACCGAAGCUGCGGCAUCAGAAUUUAUUCUGUUGGGUAGGGGAGCGUUGUGUAAGCGGAUGAAGGUGGCUCGAGAGGGUUGCUGGACGUAUCACAAGUGCGAAUGCUGACAUAAGUAACGAUAAAACGAGUGAAAAACUCGUUCGCCGGAAGACCAAGGGUUCCUGUCCAACGUUAAUCGGGGCAGGGUGAGUCGGCCCCUAAGGCGAGGCUGAAAAGCGUAGUCGAUGGGAAACGGGUUAAUAUUCCCGUACUUGG